GAUGAACGCUGGCGGCGUGCCUAAUACAUGCAAGUCGAGCGAAUGGAUUGAGAGCUUGCUCUCAAGAAGUUAGCGGCGGACGGGUGAGUAACACGUGGGUAACCUGCCCAUAAGACUGGGAUAACCCCGGGAAACCGGGGCUAAUACCGGAUAAUAUUUUGAACUGCAUGGUUCGAAAUUGAAAGGCGGCUUCGGCUGUCACUUAUGGAUGGACCCGCGUCGCAUUAGCUAGUUGGUGAGGUAACGGCUCACCAAGGCAACGAUGCGUAGCCGACCUGAGAGGGUGAUCGGCCACACUGGGACUGAGACACGGCCAGACUCCUACGGGAGGCAGCAGUAGGGAAUCUUCUGCAAUGGACGAAAGUCUGACGGAGCAACGCCGCGUGAGUGAUGAAGGCUUUCGGGUCGCAAAACUCUGUUGUUAGGGAAGAACAAGUGCUAGUUGAAUAAGCUGGCACCUUGACGGUACCUAACCAGAAAGCCACGGCUAACUACGUGCCAGCA
Molecule: ribosomal RNA, 504 nt
Filed under: uncultured bacterium
Lineage: Bacteria
Description: bacterial SSU rRNA
Rfam family: Bacterial small subunit ribosomal RNA
Source: RNAcentral